UUAUGGUGAAGGAAAAGAUCAAUGUAUCCAACGAUGAAAAAAAAGUCACCUGAAUAAGUCAUCCCACCGUUGAAAAUCACUUCUUCCCCAGUUAUGAUAUUAUAAAUUAAUCACCAAUUGCUUUCAAUUGAUAAUGUGCUCAAGAAUAAAUGUCUCUUAGAUUUGAUUAUAUAUCUAUUGUGAGGUUUUAUGUACUUAUCAAUGUUCAGAUGUGUUUUGAAUG
RNAcentral lists this unclassified non-coding RNA (223 nucleotides) under Hevea brasiliensis (rubber tree). Lineage: Eukaryota; Viridiplantae; Streptophyta; Magnoliopsida; Malpighiales; Euphorbiaceae. The record is from RNAcentral.